RNAcentral lists this small RNA (580 nucleotides) under Arabidopsis thaliana (thale cress). Its description in RNAcentral is "ATSL260170". The record is from RNAcentral. Lineage: Eukaryota; Viridiplantae; Streptophyta; Magnoliopsida; Brassicales; Brassicaceae.
AAAAUAAAAAUCCAUAAAAAUGGAAAUGCACACUAUAAUAUAUGUGUUUAGAGAAUUGUUCAAGCGUUUUUAGCUGUGGUGUCUUUGCAUAUAUUUUUUUAUUUUGUUAACUUAGAAAAAAAUAUAAUUUAACAUCAUACUGUAUUGUUUGAUUUAUAUUAGGGGUUAAAAAGAUAAUAAGGCAUAGAAGUCGAGAUAUUGUAGAAUUUGGGAAGCGAAUUAAGGAAAUUAUUUCUCUCUUCUGCCGUUCAUAAACAUGGGAAGAUUGCGCCGGUGGGAAGACUGCGCAUUAAAUGCUCGUAAAAUCUCUGUGGAAAGAUUGCACUGGCGUUAUGGGGAAGCGAAAGAAUUUAGGAAAAGAAAAUGAUUACGGAGAUAUUUCUCGAUUUGUGGGAGGAGCUGUAUACAGAGUUCAUAUAUUUAUUAUCGCCGUAGAGGCGUUGCCCAAACAACAAAACAAACACACCAUAAAGGUUCUGAGACCAAGUUAAUGAGACGAAGAACAAAGUAGAGAUAGGAAGAAUCUGGAGAUCAUUAAAGAGCAUCAAUAAAUACGAGAAGGUAUAUAUAUAUAUAUAUA